RNAcentral lists this ribosomal RNA (446 nucleotides) under uncultured bacterium. RNAcentral describes it as "partial 16S ribosomal RNA". It matches the Rfam family "Bacterial small subunit ribosomal RNA", at positions 338 to 795 of the family's 1533-position model. The record is from RNAcentral.
CCUACGGGUGGCAGCAGUCGAGAAUCAUUCACAAUGGGGGAAACCCUGAUGGUGCGACGCCGCGUGGGGGAAUGAAGGUCUUCGGAUUGUAAACCCCUGUCAUGUGGGAGCAAAUUAAAAUGAUAGUACCACAAGAGGAAGAGCCGGCUAACUCUGUGCCAGCAGCCGCGGUAAUACAGAGGUCUCAAGCGUUGUUCGGAAUCACUGGGCGUAAGGGGUGCGUAGGCUGUUUCGUAAGUCGUGUGUGAAAGGCGCGGGCUCAACCCGCGGACGGCACAUGAUACUGGGAGACUAGAGUAAGGGAGAGGGAGCCGGAAUUCUCGGUGUAGCAGUGAAAUGCGUAGAUAUCGAGAGGAACACUCGUGGCGAAGGCGGGUUGCUGGACAGUAACUGACGCUGAGGCACGAAGGCCAGGGGAGCGAAAGGGAUUAGAUACCCGAGUAGUC